UCUGCCCCUAGAUCAUUGCUAGGGUGACAGUUGUGUCUCAUGUGACUCAGUAGCUGUCAGAAAGAGAGGCUAUAUCUAAGCUCAGUGUUGUGGUCUGAGAUCAUCUGAAGAAUGAAGAGUAUAACACA
Grammomys surdaster is the source of this 128-nucleotide small nucleolar RNA. RefSeq annotates it as small nucleolar RNA SNORA17. The record is from RefSeq and is a predicted model, not a curated record. Lineage: Eukaryota; Metazoa; Chordata; Mammalia; Rodentia; Muridae. The transcript has a single exon.